This 439-nucleotide ribosomal RNA is filed under the name uncultured bacterium. RNAcentral's name for it is "partial 16S ribosomal RNA". It matches the Rfam family "Bacterial small subunit ribosomal RNA", at positions 339 to 795 of the family's 1533-position model. The record is from RNAcentral.
CUACGGGAUGCACCAGUGGGGAAUAUUGCACAAUGGAGGAAACUCUGAUGCAGCAACGCCGCGUGGAGGAUGACACUUUUCGGAGCGUAAACUCCUUUUAUAUAGGAAGAAGAUGACGGUACUAUAUGAAUAAGCGCCGGCUAACUCCGUGCCAGCAGCCGCGGUAAUACGGGGGGCGCAAGCGUUACUCGGAAUCACUGGGCGUAAAGAGCGUGUAGGCGGAUUAAAAAGUCAGAAGUGAAAUCCUAUAGCUUAACUAUAGAACUGCUUCUGAAACUCUUAAUCUAGAAUGUGGGAGAGGUAGAUGGAAUUUCUGGUGUAGGGGUAAAAUCCGUAGAGAUCAGAAGGAAUACCGAUUGCGAAGGCGAUCUACUAGAACAUUAUUGACGCUGAGACGCGAAAGCGUGGGGAGCAAACAGGAUUAGAUACCCGGGUAGUC